This 628-nucleotide ribosomal RNA is filed under the name uncultured bacterium. Its description in RNAcentral is "bacterial SSU rRNA". It matches the Rfam family "Bacterial small subunit ribosomal RNA", at positions 8 to 652 of the family's 1533-position model. The record is from RNAcentral.
AGAGUUUGAUCAUGGCUCAGGACGAACGCUGGCGGCGUGCUUAACACAUGCAAGUCGAACGAUGAACCACUUCGGUGGGGAUUAGUGGCGAACGGGUGAGUAACACGUGGGCAAUCUGCCCUGCACUCUGGGACAAGCCCUGGAAACGGGGUCUAAUACCGGAUACUGAGCCGCUUGGGCAUCCAAGUGGUUCGAAAGCUCCGGCGGUGCAGGAUGAGCCCGCGGCCUAUCAGCUUGUUGGUGAGGUAAUGGCUCACCAAGGCGACGACGGGUAGCCGGCCUGAGAGGGCGACCGGCCACACUGGGACUGAGACACGGCCCAGACUCCUACGGGAGGCAGCAGUGGGGAAUAUUGCACAAUGGGCGAAAGCCUGAUGCAGCGACGCCGCGUGAGGGAUGACGGCCUUCGGGUUGUAAACCUCUUUCAGCAGGGAAGAAGCGAAAGUGACGGUACCUGCAGAAGAAGCGCCGGCUAACUACGUGCCUGCAGCCGCGGUAAUACGUAGGGCGCAAGCGUUGUCCGGAAUUAUUGGGCGUAAAGAGCUCGUAGGCGGCUUGUCACGUCGGUUGUGAAAGCCCGGGGCUUAACCCCGGGUCUGCAGUCGAUACGGGCUGGCUAGAGUUCGGU